UUUGUUUUUCUUUCCAAUGUCCUAUAUCUUCUCUGAUUCCGCUUGAAAUCUAUCAAAUUCGUGAGGUGAAUCAAGAAAGCCUUUCUUUCUUUCAAAGAAGUAAUAAUCUUCUUUCUGUUAUCUGUGAUUUUAGAGUGGAUAGGAGAAGCAAAGAGAGGGGGGUUUCUUACGUGCACUUACAGGAGUGUCUAUUGGAUAUGUCAUAGGUUACUUUGUCCUUAAAGAAGCGGUAGAUGAAACUAAGGCGAUAAUUCAGGAGAGACGGGAAAAGAGGAACUCUGUUGGAAAAUCUCCAGAUAUUGGUACGGAUAAUCUCUCUAGUGAAAAAAACACAUCAGAGACGGCCUUGCUCAAGUCAGUUGGACAGAACAAUGAAACACACUCUCUAAUUAUCUGACAAGCUUUGUAUCAUGUCACUGUUGACUACGUGUACUCAAACAUAACUUAAGGAAUUGGCUUUGCUUUUUGGUUCAAAUUUAUGAUGUCUGAUUGUAAGAGAACCUGCUUAUGUUAAUGAACGAAAUGAUCUGAUGCUUGGCUUCUCGUUAACAUUGUAUAUGAUAUGAUUGAUGGUGGGCUUAUGGUUACAUUGUAUCAUGACUGUAUUGUGUAUGUUCAUGUAUUGCUGAAACUUAUACUCUUUUUUUCAUCGUUUCCUACGACCUUCCUUUAGAUAUCUGGUCAGUUGGUUACUGUUUGUAUGAGCUCUAUAGUGGGAAAGUGUGAUAUGUUCUGGCUCCACAAACAAUGAUAUGUUCUGCCUUCAUAUGGAACUGAAAGGUCCCUUCUCCAAGAAGAUGCUUUGCAAGGGAGUAGUUAUCGAUCAGGACUUGAGCAUCAUAUGGAAAAUUACAAAAGUAUGGCAUCUCUUUGGAUAUAAUCUUUGAUCAAGAUACCAAUCUACAUUUUUCUCUUAUCAUUGUAACAUGGCUGUGCCUCUCCUUGUAAGCAAGGAGCAAUAAACACUCGACCUUGUG
Molecule: long non-coding RNA, 977 nt
Organism: Arabidopsis lyrata subsp. lyrata
Lineage: Eukaryota; Viridiplantae; Streptophyta; Magnoliopsida; Brassicales; Brassicaceae
Exons: 4
Source: RefSeq, a predicted model, not a curated record